CUGCCGCCCCCGGCGGCGACGCACCGAGGGGAGCCGAACGGCAUGGGAAGGCCGGCGGCACAGGGUUAGGGCCCCGUAGGCGGACCCUCAGGCGCGCGCCGAUCACGGCACCUGAGUAGGGCCGGGCACGUGAAACCCGGUCCGAAUCUGGGUGGACCACCAUCCAAGCCUGAAUACUCUCCCGUGACCGAUAGCGAACGAGUACCGCGAGGGAAAGGUGAAAAGCACCCCGGGAGGGGAGUGAAACAGCACCUGAAACCGUGCGCCCGCGAGCAGUCGGAGCCCCCUUCGCGGGGUGACGGCGUGCCUUUUGUAGAAUGAGCCAGCGAGUCGCUGGCCGGCGGCGAGGUUAAGCUAGCAAGCGAGCCGUAGCGAAAGCGAGUCCGAACAGGGCGCCAUCAGUCGCCGGCCGCGGACGCGAAGCCGGGUGAGCUAUCCCUGGGCAGGCUGAAGCGGGGGUAAGACCCCGUGGAGGGCCGAACGGCAGUGCGUUGAAAAGCGCUCCGAUGACCUGGGGAUAGGGGUGAAAGGCCUAUCAAACCCGGAGAUAUCUCGUUCCCCCCGAAAUAGCUUUAGGGCUAGCGUCGGGGGUUCACCGUCGGAGGUAGAGCACCGGAUCGAUGAGGGGGCUUCGCCGCCUACCGAUUCGAACCGAACUCCGAAUGCCGACGGCCCACACCCCGGCAGUCAGAGCAUGUGGGCUAAGCUGUGUGCUCGAGAGGGAAACAGCCCAGACCGCCCGCCAAGGUCCCCAAAUCCGCGCCGAGUGGCAAAGGAUGUGCGCUCGCGCAGACAACCAGGAGGUUGGCUUAGAAGCAGCCACCCCUUCAAAGAGUGCGUAACAGCUCACUGGUCGAGUGGGCGCGCGCCGACAAUACACGGGGCUAAGCGCGGUACCGAAGCGGCGGGAUGAACUUCGUUCAUCGGUAGGGGGGCGUCGAUCGCGGGGCGAAGCGGCCGGGGAACCGAGCCGUGGACCGCGACCGAGCGAGAAUGCUGGCAUGAGUAGCGAGAGUGGAGAGGGUAACUCCACCGCCGUAAACCCGAGGUUUCCUGGGCGAGGCUAAUCCCCCCAGGGUCAGUCGGGGGCUAAGGCGAGGCCGGGAGGCGUAGCCGAA
Molecule: ribosomal RNA, 1118 nt
Filed under: Anaerotignum lactatifermentans
Lineage: Bacteria; Bacillati; Bacillota; Clostridia; Lachnospirales; Anaerotignaceae
Description: partial 23S ribosomal RNA
Rfam family: Bacterial large subunit ribosomal RNA
Source: RNAcentral